GACGAACGCUGGCGGCGUGCUUAACACAUGCAAGUCGAACGGAAAGGCCCUGCUUUUGUGGGGUGCUCGAGUGGCGAACGGGUGAGUAACACGUGAGUAACCUUCCCUUGACUUUGGGAUAACUUCAGGAAACUGGGGCUAAUACCGGAUAGGAGCUCCUGCUGCAUGGUGGGGGUUGGAAAGUUUCGGCGGUUGGGGAUGGACUCGCGGCUUAUCAGCUUGUUGGUGGGGUAGUGGCCUACCAAGGCUUUGACGGGUAGCCGGCCUGAGAGGGUGACCGGCCACAUUGGGACUGAGAUACGGCCCAGAGUCCUACGGGAGGCAGCAGUGGGGAAUAUUGCACAAUGGGCGGAAGCCUGAUGCAGCAACGCCGCGUGCGGGAUGACGGCCUUCGGGUUGUAAACCGCUUUCGCCUGUGACGAAGCGUGAGUGACGGUAAUGGGUAAAGAAGCACCGGCUAACUACGUG
This 468-nucleotide ribosomal RNA is filed under the name uncultured bacterium. RNAcentral's name for it is "partial 16S ribosomal RNA". It matches the Rfam family "Bacterial small subunit ribosomal RNA", at positions 28 to 507 of the family's 1533-position model. The record is from RNAcentral.